This 544-nucleotide ribosomal RNA is filed under the name uncultured bacterium. Its description in RNAcentral is "bacterial SSU rRNA". It matches the Rfam family "Bacterial small subunit ribosomal RNA", at positions 355 to 896 of the family's 1533-position model. The record is from RNAcentral.
UCUAGAAAUUUGGGCAAUGGGCGAAAGCCUGACCCAGCGACACCGCGUGGAGGAUGAAGUCUUUCGGGAUGUAAACUCCUGACAGGCGGAGCGAUGCCGUUUCGGAGUAACUGCCGCGACGGUGACGGUACUGCCAAAGGAAGCCCCGGCUAACUACGUGCCAGCAGCCGCGGUAAUACGUAGGGGGCAAGCGCUGUCCGGAUUUACUGGGCGUAAAGGGUGUGCAGGCGGACUGGCAUGUCGAUGGUGAAAGCUCUCGGCUCAACCGGGAAAGUGCUGUCGAAACUACCAGUCUUGAGGACGGAAGAGGAAACUGGAACUUCUGGUGUAGCGGUAAAAUGCGUAGAUAUCAGAAGGAACGCCGAUAGCGAAGGCAGGUUUCUGGGACGUUCCUGACGCUGAAACACGAAAGCUAGGGGAGCAAACAGGAUUAGAUACCCUGGUAGUCCUAGCUGUAAACGAUGUACAUUAGGCGUGGGGAGUUUUCCCCGUGCCGGAGCCAACGCGUUAAAUGUACCGCCUGGGGACUACGGCCGCAAGGUUG